RNAcentral lists this ribosomal RNA (791 nucleotides) under uncultured Staphylococcus sp. Its description in RNAcentral is "bacterial SSU rRNA". It matches the Rfam family "Bacterial small subunit ribosomal RNA", at positions 35 to 808 of the family's 1533-position model. The record is from RNAcentral. Lineage: Bacteria; Bacillati; Bacillota; Bacilli; Caryophanales; Staphylococcaceae.
GCUGGCGGCGUGCCUAAUACAUGCAAGUCGAGCGAACGGACGAGAAGCUUGCUUCUCUGAUGUUAGCGGCGGACGGGUGAGUAACACGUGGAUAACCUACCUAUAAGACUGGGAUAACUUCGGGAAACCGGAGCUAAUACCGGAUAAUAUUUUGAACCGCAUGGUUCAAAAGUGAAAGACGGUCUUGCUGUCACUUAUAGAUGGAUCCGCGCUGCAUUAGCUAGUUGGUAAGGUAACGGCUUACCAAGGCAACGAUGCAUAGCCGACCUGAGAGGGUGAUCGGCCACACUGGAACUGAGACACGGUCCAGACUCCUACGGGAGGCAGCAGUAGGGAAUCUUCCGCAAUGGGCGAAAGCCUGACGGAGCAACGCCGCGUGAGUGAUGAAGGUCUUCGGAUCGUAAAACUCUGUUAUUAGGGAAGAACAUAUGUGUAAGUAACUGUGCACAUCUUGACGGUACCUAAUCAGAAAGCCACGGCUAACUACGUGCCAGCAGCCGCGGUAAUACGUAGGUGGCAAGCGUUAUCCGGAAUUAUUGGGCGUAAAGCGCGCGUAGGCGGUUUUUUAAGUCUGAUGUGAAAGCCCACGGCUCAACCGUGGAGGGUCAUUGGAAACUGGAAAACUUGAGUGCAGAAGAGGAAAGUGGAAUUCCAUGUGUAGCGGUGAAAUGCGCAGAGAUAUGGAGGAACACCAGUGGCGAAAGCGACUUUCUGGUCUGUAACUGACGCUGAUGUGCGAAAGCGUGGGGAUCAAACAGGAUUAGAUACCCUGGUAGUCCACGCCGUAAACG